Molecule: ribosomal RNA, 466 nt
Filed under: uncultured Klebsiella sp.
Lineage: Bacteria; Pseudomonadati; Pseudomonadota; Gammaproteobacteria; Enterobacterales; Enterobacteriaceae
Description: bacterial SSU rRNA
Rfam family: Bacterial small subunit ribosomal RNA
Source: RNAcentral
CCUACGGGCGUGCAGCAGUGGGGAAUAUUGCACAAUGGGCGCAAGCCUGAUGCAGCCAUGCCGCGUGUGUGAAGAAGGCCUUCGGGUUGUAAAGCACUUUCAGCGGGGAGGAAGGCGGUGAGGUUAAUAACCUCAUCGAUUGACGUUACCCGCAGAAGAAGCACCGGCUAACUCCGUGCCAGCAGCCGCGGUAAUACGGAGGAUGCAAGCGUUAAUCGGAAUUACUGGGCGUAAAGCGCACGCAGGCGGUCUGUCAAGUCGGAUGUGAAAUCCCCGGGCUCAACCUGGGAACUGCAUUCGAAACUGGCAGGCUAGAGUCUUGUAGAGGGGGGUAGAAUUCCAGGUGUAGCGGUGAAAUGCGUAGAGAUCUGGAGGAAUACCGGUGGCGAAGGCGGCCCCCUGGACAAAGACUGACGCUCAGGUGCGAAAGCGUGGGGAGCAAACAGGAUUAGAUACCCUUGUAGUC